This 4848-nucleotide long non-coding RNA is filed under the name Panax ginseng (ginseng). RNAcentral's name for it is "long non-coding RNA (PGIN_LNC007947)". The record is from RNAcentral. Lineage: Eukaryota; Viridiplantae; Streptophyta; Magnoliopsida; Apiales; Araliaceae.
UUCAUAUGAAUAUUUAUAAUAUUUAUUCAUAAAAUAAUGAAUACAAUCUCACUUUGAUACUGAUUAAUAAAUUAAUUCCUUCUAUUUCCAGGAAUCCGCAACCUUUACAUCCUGGUGUUACACUUUCAAAUCAUAUUGAUUCAAAUUAUACAUUUCAAGUUAUAAAUAAUCUUUUUCACUUGGAUAUAUUGAUUGUAAUUAUCCAUGAACUCACAACUAGACUUAACUAUAAUUUUAUACAAUGUUCUUUGACUAUGCAAUUACAAUAUGUCAUUUGAACGCUACCUAGCAUAGCUAGAGCUAUACGAACAACUUCAAUAAGUAUUUCUUCCUCUUUCCUUUGUCUAUCCCAAAUCCUUUGAUCCGCUUUGGUUUAGCUGAAAAUAAUUAUUUAUAGCAAGAGUGAGCAACUACGUUGCCCAACAAGUUUAACAGUUAUCGCAUAACACAUAGUUCGCAUUUUAAACACAACUUAAAUUAUUCAUACUUCGCAGUUUAUACAUAAAUUAAUGUUUUUCAUACAUUACAUUUAAUCAAGCAUCAUAAUGCUCAUACUCAGCAAUUAUACCUACUUCACGCUUAUCAUAUACCUCAUAUCAUGAAUAUAGUAAGUUUCCAUAACUUUGUCCACAUCAAUCAUUAACUUGAUUCAAUAGAUUUAUAUCACAGUAUAGCGCAUCUCAAUUUAUUCCCAAGGAGUACAUAUAAUACAGGGAGUAUGUACACAUUACAAUUAACAAGUUCACAUAAAAAAAACAAGUUCUGAAAAACUUGCAUGUACCGGAGUUUUACCAUUACACCAACUUACGCGUUCCUUGCACAACCUACAUUGUAUGUGGGAUUAAUAACAAAACACAUUAUCAGUCAAAGUUUGACUAUUAGUGUGAUCUUACUUUAAAACCUUAUCUUAACUUAUUAUAUUCCUUGUAUCCUCUUUAUAUCUAAUAAUAUAGACAUUCAACUUCAUUAUUUAUAUAGCUCGAUUUUAUUUCCCUUUUUAUCACCACAUGUGUUAGCUUAUCGCACUUAUAGUUUACGUACUGUGUGUGUAUCACACCAUUACAACAUACCAUAUUUGGUUAAACAUUUCUCAUCUAGGUUCCUUAGACUUAGAUUAUGCGCAGAGCAUUCGUUCAUCAAUUUGUAACCAUUCACUUAAUAGUACCUUACAUUAAUCUUGUAAUGUAUCUAUCCCAGUUAAAAAAAUAAUAAAAAUUUCCUUCUAAGUUCACUUUUACACUUUUUGGGUUGUCCAAAAAGUGUUACGCAACGAUUACAUAUUUGGACUCUACACGAAAAAUUAAGCAACAUAUAAAAAAAUUACAUGACGCCCAAAAAUUGACUCGGCGUACCAAAAUGGCUUGGCGUGCCAAAAACAACACAGCCAUUGCCCAGACAGCCCACACACUGCCCAGACUGCAGAACAAAAUCUGGAAAUUUCAGAUUUUGUGAUUUUCGGGCUAGUUUUACGAAUUUUUAUCUCACUCGUUAUACAUCGGAUUAAAGCCAUUUUCGGAUAUGUUCUACCUCAUACUACGUAGUAUUUUUUAAAAUAUAACAUUCAUGAAAAGAGUUUGGAAAGACUUCGAAACAGUGGUCUGAAACAGCCCAUACACAGCAGUUUCAGACUUAGAAAAUUUCAUGGUUUCUGCAGUUUCGGUGAUUUUCUAUGCUACUUUGGGAAUUUUUAUGAAUUUUUGUAUUAGGCUUUUAGCUUGGAGAUCUGGACAUGCUUAUAGAACAUAUAUCAAAGUAUUUUUCUACUGGUUUAGGUCAUUAAGCAAGCAACUUAAGCUUCCUCAAACGGAUGCCCAAACAAGGCCAUUAUUUACAGUUUUAAGUUUACUAGUUUUGGUCAAUUCUUGCCAAUUUCAUUUCUAGCCACUUUGGUUCAUUCCAUCACUUGAAUUAUAUCUAUUUAGAACUAGUUUUAGCAUUCCUUUAGGUUUGCUAAGCAUAAAUUGUGCUUUGACCCUCUAAACCAAGCUUUUUUCAAGCUUUUACGUACUAACUUCUCAAGUUAUUGCGUACAUUAGCAUUCCAACACUUGGAAUAGCCUAGCAUAACUCUAACUCACUUGUCUAAGGUGUCUAAAGUAAGUUCUAGGCCAAAUGGAAAAAUCUCAAAUUUUCAUACUUGGACAAAUUUGCAAAAACUGCAGUUUUAAUGAUUUUUCAUGCUAGCUUGGUGAUUUGUUUAAAAUUUUUGGUUAAGCCAAGAGCUUAACCACUUGGCCCUACUUCUAGACCAUACUACAAGGUAUUUUAAUCAAGGCUUAGGUUUCUUGUUCAUGCCCAUUAAGCUUCCCAAAACAGGGCUCAAACUUAGCCAUUUUCUCACUUUUUUUACAAAACUAUUUUUGAACUUUUUCCAUUUUUUUCUAGUUAUGGCCACUAGGAUAGUCUAGGCAUGUGUAUUUAAGUUACUUAAGGAUACUUUUAGCAUCACCAUACCUUAUUUAAUCAUGUAGCCCAUUUUGACCUAUCAAAGCUCACUUUAGGCUUGAAAAAGAGAUCUUAAAUUGGUUUUCUUGCUAGCUUUGGUCAUGGCAAUGGUUAGGAAUCAUCACAAGCAUGAAUUAACAAAUUUAUAUGAGUUCAUUACAGUCUUAUAAGUUCAGGUACUAGAAGUUACCCAAAACAGUCUACUUUUGAUCUUAAAAUGUGAUUUUUUUAACAACCAAUGCUCAAAACAGUUUAGAAUUUGUUUCUUUAGCUUGUGUAGCUUACUUAUGCUAUAUUAUAACUAUUGAAACUUGCCUAAAUGUUCCAGGUAUGGUAGUUCCAUAGUUGGGUGUUAGUUGACACUUUAAAGCUUACUUUAAUAGCUUUUAGUAUGAUUUUUGGACAAUACCCAUCCUAGACUUCAACUAACUUUAGGAACAUCUUUUAAAUGACAUUUAUGGAAAAUGAGAGUAUACCUUACUGAUUUAUAAUAUCAGUAGCUACAAAUGGCCAUAACAGCCCCCUUAGAGACAUAAUUUUUGCUCCCAAAUUUCAAGUAGUCCACCACAGACCACAAAGGAUCUUUAAACAUUUCAUAUGAACUUUAAUUACCAUAAAAACUCAUUAAUAUACACUCUGGCAUGAUUUCAAUUCAAUUCAGUUAUCAAUCCUAAACAGCCCCCUUUCCUAGGCUUUAUAAGUAUGAGUUAGCAUUCAUUCACCAUAACAGUACUAGGCCUUUAAGUACCCAAGUUCUCUGCAUAUAUAACCUUUAUAUAUGCUAUAUAAUCUACACACGUGGCUUUAAAACUCAUAGGUUAUAGAUUUCAUGCUUUUGACCAAAGCAACUCACUUCUAAGCUUUUUAUGACUUGAAGAAAACAUGGACUAGCAAUAUAGAUGACACAUGAUAGCAUGAUGAGCAUGGACUGAUUUUGACAUUGUAUACACAUGAAUGAGUUUUAUUCUCUUUAUAAUAUCCAGGUGGCUUAAUAAAUAACAUAUAACAGUCCAUACCACAACAGUUCACACACAAUUCCUAGACUAGAGUAGUCAGGCAUAGUUUUAACAUCUCAAGUUCAGGUUCUGACCUUUUAAUUCAUUGAGGCACAUGUAUUUUCACCACAUCAAACUUAUUAUUUCAUACCCUUGCCUUGUAUAAUAGCUUAGCAUGUUUUUGGCUUUUAAAACUUAAUUUACAUAGUAUAUCCACAUGAAGCUCUACAAGUUUGCUAGCUUAUGACUUUGCUGCACUUUUUCUAUCAUUUCUAGUAUAUUUUAUGUUAUAACAUGAGCUUCUAACCAUCUAAUAUGGCCAGGUUUAAUAGAUGACCAUGACAACCCCAAACUUAGAAUUUUAAGCAUGGAUUUGGCAAGGUAAUUCAAAACAGCCUCAAGUUUAGUUAAGAUGAAUGUUGAGGCAUCUUUAGAACAUGUAAUUGUUAAGAGAUAUACCUUCAUGGCUGAAGUUAAAUAAAUUCCUAGUUAACCCAAAACAACCCUCUUUUUACUUAGGUUUUAAGCUUGAAACCUCUUAGCUAUUCAAGUUAAGCAUAUCCACUCUCCUUUUAGCAUAUAAGCAUAUAUAUGGGAUUAUUAUCUUAGCAUAUGACAUGGUUUUGGACUUGUUUGCAUAGCUAACAUGCCUUUAGCACAUAACAUUCAACAUUUAGGCAUUUUAUCAAACAUGUAGAGUGCAGUUCAUAUAUAUACAUAUAGUAUAUAUAUUCCUAGCUCUUUGACCCCAGCCUUAUGGCUUUAAUUUACCUAGCAUGACAACAACAACUCAUAGCCACAAUUAGGCCUUAUGGUAGUUAAUAUAUCAGCCAAAAAUUUAGAAUAUCUAUCAUUAUAAUAGUAAACAUACUUGUAUAGCCAUUCCAGGCCAUUCAGCCAAAAUAGUCAACUAUUGCUAAUAAAAAUGUCAUGGAAAUGAAUGGAAUGAGAUGGGUUUGCUCACCUUGCUAGACUUCUAGAGGUACAGGUGCUUGAUGCUCAGUUUCUUCCUCUCUUUUUUUCUUAGACGAGCUCUCUCUUUAUCUCUCUAUAUGUUAUAGCUUUUGAAGCUCAGAUAUGAGGUAUAGCCAACUGAACUCAGGUGCAAGGUGCUGCCAUAUAUGGCCAAUCUUAACCUCUCUCUCACCAGCCUACUUCGCCUCUAAGCUGUAACCCCUCAUCACCUAUAGCCAGCUCCAUCAUUGCCCCUACUGCUAGCUCUCUAUACUCCCUACCCGGCUGCUACUUUGGCCCCUACACAGCCACAUGUCUUGGCCUCUAUAAGGCUUAUGUGCUAUUUUCCUUUUGCAUUGGCCCCUAGCAGUCUACUUGGCUGCUACUAAAUAAUUACUAAGUGAACUAAUUGCUAACUAAAGCAAACUAACUGCUUUAUCUAAUUAAGCUAAAAU